UAGAGUUUGAUCAUGGCUCAGGACGAACGCUGGCGGCGUGCCUAAUACAUGCAAGUCGAGCGGACUUUUAAAAGCUUGCUUUUAAAAGUUAGCGGCGGACGGGUGAGUAACACGUGGGCAACCUGCCUGUAAGACUGGGAUAACUACCGGAAACGGUAGCUAAUACCCGAUACAUCCUUUUCCUGCAUGGGAGAAGGAGGAAAGGCGGAGCAAUCUGUCACUUGUGGAUGGGCCUGCGGCGCAUUAGCUAGUUGGUGGGGUAAAGGCCUACCAAGGCGACGAUGCGUAGCCGACCUGAGAGGGUGAUCGGCCACACUGGGACUGAGACACGGCCCAGACUCCUACGGGAGGCAGCAGUAGGGAAUCUUCCGCAAUGGGCGAAAGCCUGACGGAGCAACGCCGCGUGAGUGAUGAAGGUUUUCGGAUCGUAAAGCUCUGUUGCCAGGGAAGAACGUCUUGUAGAGUAACUGCUACAAAGUGACGGUACCUGAGAAGAAAGCCCCGGCUAACUACGUGCCACCAGCCGCGGUAAUACGUUAGGGGCAAGCGUUGUCCGGAAUUAUUGGCGUAAA
This 572-nucleotide ribosomal RNA is filed under the name uncultured bacterium. RNAcentral's name for it is "bacterial SSU rRNA". It matches the Rfam family "Bacterial small subunit ribosomal RNA", at positions 1 to 564 of the family's 1533-position model. The record is from RNAcentral.